AAGCUCGUAGUUGAAUUUCGGGAUCAAUGUUUCGGUCAUGCCGUUGGUAUGUACUGGUAUUAUUGAUUUCUCACCUUCUAAAGAACCGUAAUGCCAUUAAUUUGGUGUCACGGGGAAUUAGGACUGUUACCUUGAAAAAAUUAGAGUGUUUAAAGCAGGCUCACGCUUGAAUACAUUAGCAUGGAAUAAUGAAAUAGGACAUCCGAUUCUAUUUUGUUGGUUUCUAGGAUCGAUGUAAUGAUUAAUAGGGAUAGUUGGG
This 259-nucleotide ribosomal RNA is filed under the name uncultured Glomus. RNAcentral describes it as "partial 18S ribosomal RNA". It matches the Rfam family "Eukaryotic small subunit ribosomal RNA", at positions 624 to 886 of the family's 1831-position model. The record is from RNAcentral. Lineage: Eukaryota; Fungi; Glomeromycota; Glomeromycetes; Glomerales; Glomeraceae.